Molecule: long non-coding RNA, 568 nt
Filed under: Elaeis guineensis (African oil palm)
Lineage: Eukaryota; Viridiplantae; Streptophyta; Magnoliopsida; Arecales; Arecaceae
Description: long non-coding RNA (EGUI_LNC062105)
Source: RNAcentral
UUGAGGAGGUGAAUAUCUAACUAGUGAGUUUCUUGAUUAUUUAAAAGAAAAUAGAAUUCUCUCUCAAUGGACUUUUUCCUACACUCCACAAUUAAAUGGUAUUGUGAAAAAAAAGAAUCGUACCUUAUUGGAUAUGAUGCGGUUUAUGAUGUGCUUCACAGAUCUUUCAAUCUCUUUUUGAGUGUUGAGAUUUGAUAUCUUAAGAUUCAAUUCACACUGAGCUCACAGCAAGGUCUAGAACGAUGAAUGGAGUUCAACAAGCCUAAGAACAGCCCAAAUAGAGUCCAGAUGGUGAAGAUACAUGUGAAUGAAGGCUUACAGCAAGUGGCAUGAUCCACGAGGCAGCAGAGGUCGGUUGCGGUGCAUGCGCGCACACAAGAGUAUGCGGCCCAGUGCCAAUGCAUGCAUGGGUUGGCCCAGUGGGCACGCAGAUGCCCAAGCCCAGUGCCCUGUCGCGGUCCACCAUGGAUCACAGGGUGAUGGGUGGUUCAUGGAGGCCAUAUGGAUCGAUCUACGUGCGGUCCAAGGGCGUUUGUACAUGAUCUGAUGGUUCAAAUUGCAUAUGGUC